This 468-nucleotide ribosomal RNA is filed under the name uncultured bacterium. RNAcentral describes it as "bacterial SSU rRNA". It matches the Rfam family "Bacterial small subunit ribosomal RNA", at positions 329 to 794 of the family's 1533-position model. The record is from RNAcentral.
UUCCAGACUCCUACGGGAGGCAGCAGUGAGGAAUAUUGGUCAAUGGGCGCAAGCCUGAACCAGCCAAGUCGCGUGAGGGAAGACGGUCCUAUGGAUUGUAAACCUCUUUUGCCGGGGAGCAAUGCAGGCCUUGCGAGGCCUGAGGGAGAGUACCCGGAGAAAAAGCAUCGGCUAACUCCGUGCCAGCAGCCGCGGUAAUACGGAGGAUGCGAGCGUUAUCCGGAUUUAUUGGGUUUAAAGGGUGCGUAGGCGGGCUGUUAAGUCAGCGGUCAAAUGUCGGGGCUCAACCCCGGCCUACCGUUGAAACUGGCGGUCUUGAGUGAGCGAGAAGUAUGCGGAAUGCGUGGUGUAGCGGUGAAAUGCAUAGAUAUCACGCAGAACUCCGAUUGCGAAGGCAGCAUACCGGCGCUCAACUGACGCUGAGGCACGAAAGCGUGGGGAUCGAACAGGAUUAGAUACCCGCGUAAA